UAUUAAAAUUUUUAUAUAUUUAUAUUGUUAAAAACUAAUGUGACUGACGGAAUAAACAAAUAAUUAAAUUUGGUAUGCCACGUGUAGCUCAUGUUAACAUAUAGAAACCAAUUUUAAAAAUAAAAAUGAAUAAGUUGUUAACA
Non-coding RNA from Gossypium raimondii (Peruvian cotton), 143 nucleotides. Lineage: Eukaryota; Viridiplantae; Streptophyta; Magnoliopsida; Malvales; Malvaceae. The record is from Rfam.